CUUUAGUUUGAAACCCCGAAACCAGGUGAGCUACCCCGAGACAGCCUAAGUAAUUUAGGGCUAACCCGUCUCUGUGGCAAAAGAGUGGGAAGAGCUCCGGGUAGAAGUGACAGACCUACCGAACCUGGUGAUAGCUGGUUGCCUGAGAAAUGGAUAGAAGUUCAGCCCCGUAUGCCCCGUACCAAAAACAUCAUUUUAAGAUUUAGGGAAACUUAUGGGAGUUAGUUAAAGGGGGUACAGCCCCUCUAACAAAGGAUACAACCUUUACAGGAGGAUAAAGAUCAUAAUAUUUAAAACACACUGUUCUAGUGGGCCUAAAAGCAGCCACCUAAACAGAAAGCGUUAAAGCUCAGACAGAAAGAAGUUUAUUAUAAUGAUAAAAAAUCUUAUUCCCCUAAUAGUAUCAGGCUAUUCCAUGCUCACAUGGAAGAGAUUAUGCUAAAAUGAGUAACAAGAAGACUUGAUCUUCUCCAAGCACAAGUGUACACCAGAUCGGACCAACCACUGGAAAUUAACGAACCCAAACAAAGAGAGUAUUGUGAAUUAUAUAAAAACCAGGAAGACCCCACAAUUAAAUAAUCGUUAACCCCACACUGGAGUGCUAUAAAUUAAGGAAAGACUAAAAGAAAGGGAAGGAACUCGGCAAACAUAAGCCUCGCCUGUUUACCAAAAACAUCGCCUCCUGCAAACAAAUUAAGUAUAGGAGGUCCAGCCUGCCCAGUGACUACGGGUUCAACGGCCGCGGUAUUUUGACCGUGCAAAGGUAGCGCAAUCACUUGUCUUUUAAAUAGAGACCUGUAUGAAUGGCUAAACGAGGGCUUAACUGUCUCCCCCUUCCAGUCAGUGAAAUUGAUCUAUCCGUGCAGAAGCGGGUAUAAUUAUACAAGACGAGAAGACCCUUUGGAGCUUAAGGUACAAAAUUCAACCACGUUAAACAACUAAACAAAGAGGGGGAACUUAGUGGGACCUGAAAUUUUACCUUCGGUUGGGGCGACCGCGGAGGAAAAAUCAGCCUCCGAGUGGAAUGGGCCAAAACCCUAAAACCAAGAGAAACAUCUCUAAGCCGCAGAACAUCUGACCAUUAAUGAUCCGGCCAAACAGCCGAUCAACGAACCAAGUUACCCUAGGGAUAACAGCGCAAUCCUCUCCCAGAGUCCAUAUCGACGAGGGGGUUUACGACCUCGAUGUUGGAUCAGGACAUCCUAAUGGUGCAGCCG
This 1217-nucleotide ribosomal RNA is filed under the name Gnathopogon elongatus. RNAcentral's name for it is "partial 16S ribosomal RNA". It matches the Rfam family "Bacterial large subunit ribosomal RNA", at positions 700 to 2561 of the family's 2925-position model. The record is from RNAcentral. Lineage: Eukaryota; Metazoa; Chordata; Actinopteri; Cypriniformes; Gobionidae.